Long non-coding RNA from Quercus lobata, 432 nucleotides. RefSeq lists it as uncharacterized. NCBI's taxonomy places the organism in Eukaryota, Viridiplantae, Streptophyta, Magnoliopsida, Fagales, Fagaceae. The record is from RefSeq and is a predicted model, not a curated record. The transcript is spliced from 3 exons.
GCCCUCCUGCAAGAGCUCCACAAAAGGUGAGGACAACCUUGAAGUUGGAUAAAAUGGAUUGGAACUCUGUGAAGUGGAGAGAUGCAGAUGUGUUGGUCUUAAACACUGGGAAUUGGUGGAAUUAUGAGAAGACUAUAAGAGGGGAUUGUUACUUCCAAGAGGGUGCAGAGGUAAAGAUGGAUAUGGUCAAUCCAAGGAUUAGCAGCUUGUUGUAAGUUUGGGUUCCUCUUUUCAUGAGGCGGGCAAUGAGUUGCUAAAGGAUGAAUAAAAUCUACUACAUAAGCGGGUGGCUUGGAUGGUGAUAUAAGGUGGUCUACUUUUUAUUAUUGGGAGUGUUGAUUGUUAUUUCUUUAAAAUGUGUUCUUAGUUGGGUAUAGAUUGAAUUUUUAUUUUGUGCUUGUUUUAUGACUUUCAUGGAAAAUAUGAUUUGUA